Long non-coding RNA from Colossoma macropomum (tambaqui), 1541 nucleotides. RefSeq lists it as uncharacterized. Lineage: Eukaryota; Metazoa; Chordata; Actinopteri; Characiformes; Serrasalmidae. The transcript is spliced from 3 exons. The record is from RefSeq and is a predicted model, not a curated record.
UGUUAGGAGACACAUUUUCUCUGAAGGUUUUAAUUUAAGCUUUUUGUCUUUUAAUUUUUAUCUUUUAAUCAACUUGCUUCAUUUUGCCAGUGGAUGAUCAUAGUGUACAUCUGAUCUCCUUGGAAAUCUCUCUGAAUGAACUACUUGUGCUUAAUAGCUUUUGACUGCAGAUUAAAUAAACGAUGGGUUGUCUCUGACUUUUACACAGUACUGGAUUUGAAACAAAUAUGGUCAUUUUUGGUCAUAUUGGUCAAUUAAACUGUCUCUGUUUUAGAUGAGAAGGGUAUCGUGUUUGAAGCGGAGGUCACUCGCGCUGAAGCUUUGCAGACGUUGGAACUUUACAAGCACUCGCUCGCUGGAACCAACAUCAGCUCUCUACAGGAAAUGUGUGUUGCCAUGGAGAGGAGCGGGCACUCUAGUUUAGUGUUCCAGGGCCGGAGGUCACGGACUAAAAGUGAUCUGAGCAUGAAGAUGUACGAAGAAGAGAUUCAGGAAUGGUAUGAAGAAUAUUCCAGAACAAAUCUACCUCAACUUGACAGUCCGCUCCACAGAGACCUGGACAGCCCUGACCCCUCGCAGAGCAUCAACUAACAUGCUCGGACGCCGACUUAACUCAUCUGACAUCAGAUGGUCCUCCUUCACACGCACUUCUAAUAGUUCUUCAUGAGCCGUUAUUUAUAGAGAAACCUUACCGUCACGUUCAGACACACAGAUGAAGGACUUUGUGGCCGUCUUCCUCCGACUUGUAAGGGAAUGCAGUGUGUUGCCGGUUGCUAUAGCAACAACUCCAUACUGUAUUCUCCAACUGUUUCCUGGUCACACCUAACAUUGAGAGCAUUAGCCAAUAGGAAGCCUUAUUUCCCUCCCUCACAACCUUACGGUUCCGCAACCAAUCAGGGAAGCUUGAAGACCAAUCAUGUGAUUGCACUAGGGUCCAGGAACCACUGUCCUUUUCACCCCACCUUUUGAAGCACAUCCCAUGACCCAUGAAGGAUUGACCUGAGAGAUUACUGGACAAAGCGAGGGCUGACCCCUGAUGCACUCGGAUCAAACACGACCACCGAGCUUGAAUGAUUAUUUUUUGUGUUAAAUGACUGAAUUUGACGCCCCUUUUACUGCUGCUUUUGUUGCAAGAUUGGGACCUGAUAAUAAUUAUUAUUAUUUUUUAAUAUACUGUAUAUAAACACAGAUCUAAUGAUGGUGGCGAGAUACAGAGACUGUUCUCAUUGUGUUCAGGCGUCUUUCAGAUCAGCUCUCUGACGAUGCCGAAGUUCUCAUUGUAAGAAUCCAGCAACGUGGCACAUUUAAGGUCCAUUUUAUUUUAUUUUAUUCAUUUAUUUUUAUUUGUUUGGUCACAGUUUAUUUUGAGAGUCCUCUAUAGUUCAUCCACUAACACUUUAAUUGUUAACUUACUAUCUGGUCAGUUUUGGGAUUAAAUUCCAAAAAUAUUUUCACUCAGUAGUCCAGAAAGUCCAUAUAUGGAAACUAAGCCCGCUUUGAUUUCAUUGUUUUUGUGAUGUCACAAAAACCAACACAUUUAC